Molecule: transfer RNA, 65 nt
Filed under: Magelona mirabilis
Lineage: Eukaryota; Metazoa; Annelida; Polychaeta; Spionida; Magelonidae
Description: tRNA-Met
Source: RNAcentral
GGUAAAGUAAGCUAACUUAAGCUAUUGGGCUCAUACCCCAACAAUGGACUAACCCCCCUUUACCA